GGCAAACCGCAAAUUCCCCUAUUGUGCCUAAUCCUUAUUGUGGCUAGCUUCACACCACGAUCCAGGCGAGCCUCACUGGUCAGAUGAAGCUAUCUGGCUGCUUUUAAGAAGGCUGGAUCUGAAACCCAGUGACAACACUCGGGUCUGUAGCUGCCAUUUUCCUGACGGGAAAGAGAAAGGGCCCUGUAUUUACCAGUAGGAGAGAAAGAUCCAGAACUGUUGAUUGGGGAAACAAGAACAAACAAUGAGGCAUGACGAUUGGGUGUUCAGGGAUACAACUUGUCACAUUGUCCGUGUCCCAACAGGACUGGAUCCUUCAGACCAUCCGGGACAUCCUGUUCCAGUGGGAUGUGAGCGUCCAGUUGCAGAGACUACAGCACAUCGAGCCUGUGGACGGACAGCUCAGUAACACGUAAAAUAUGAUACAAUAGUGCUGACAGGAGGAACAAUAUGUGUCUGUCAAAGGUCGUCACGCUGGAUGGGGAUGGAGGCUUUGGUGGUCCACACAACGACGCAGCAGGAAUCUCUUCCAGUGGUGUGGACCUGAUCCUGGAUCGGUUGCAAGUACGGAUGGUCUUCACGAAGGCUAUAUAGAAAUCCUUUGACUUCACUGCCUCUUCAAUGGUACAGUAAGGGCCCGUGCACCAUAUGGACCCUUGACCUCCAGCACUGCUGUGGAGCCCACCAGACCAUCCAGUGAGGCACCUAGGAUCCCAGACCUUGUGACCCCAAAGCCCUGACUCCUGCACAUCCAUCCUUGUAGACAUUUUGAAUGCCUUGAUGAACUCCUCUUUGUUAACUGUGGCCCACUUUACAGACAUCACCCCAUCCAACAACUGUGAUCUGAGGACUCUUUUUAUUUAUUUUAUUUUUUAAUCAGCGACGGAGUAAUGCACUUAGCCCUAACCACUGUCCCAUAAUUGCUGUCCGUCAACUUUCCUCUCCUCAUGAUGUGCCAGUUGAGGUCGGUGUGCUGUCCAACUGUUGCCUGCCGUAUAACCUCCUGCUGCUCAUCCGACAGAGUCAUGCCAGCCAGGAUGCCUGCAUGCCCCAGUGAGGGCAGCGAUUGUUCUGGCUCAGGUUUAAGGAGACAUGCCAUUCCACUGAACCGGUUCCUUAGUCACUGAAGAACCUCCUCUGUGGGCUCUCGGGACAGUGGGUUUUAGUCUUCAGCCAGGUACAGAUCCUCCACUGACUGCACCUGGUUGGGCACGGCUGGCUUCCUUCACUCGCAUUCCAUAUCCGUACGGACAAUAUUGGUAAACACCAAAAUAGGCUUCAUGGCUACACUGAUGAGCUCGAUGGAGACAUUCCCAUGUGGUAGAGAGAAUCCCCUGUUCACCUAUAGAGACCUGACAACAGGAAGUGGUCAACUAUAGAGACCUGUCAACAGGAAGUGGUCACCUCUAGAGACCUGCCUACAGGAAGGAUGUUAAGUGCUACAUGACUUUCAGUGCACGACUUUAAACAUCUUGAAAUUAAUUUGUUGUAAAAAAUGUGCUAUAUAAAUGAAGUUCCAUUUGAUUGAUGACAUUACAUCUGUAGAAUGUGUCCACUGUGGCGGACUACAGACAACAUGAACAGUAUAUGAAUAGAAAAGGUGUGUACAGCAGUAGAAUAAUGUAAAAAUAUUUUACAAUCCAGGUGUGCAAAGCUCAGACUUACCCAGAAAGAGUCACAGCUGUAAUUGCUGCCAAAGGUGAUUCUAACAUGUAUUGACUCAGGGUUGUGAAUCCUUAUGUAAAUGAGUUAUUUCUGUAUUUCAUUUUCAAUACAUUUGCAAAAAAUUCUACAAAAACAUGCUUUCACUUUGUCAUUAUGGAGUAUUGUGGUAGAUGGGUUACCAGUGUUCAAUGACUAUGUACAUAGGGAAAAGCAGUCUCUAAGGUUCAGGGUAGAGUACCAUGUGGUAGCUGGCUAGUAACAGUAACUAAGGGUGUUUUCACACAGUCCUCUUUAAAAUAACCGAUCUCAGUCUUCUUAAAAGUGAACUGGGGUAUAAAGAAAAGAAGAAGAAGGUAAAUAACUCCGUUCUCUUUGUAUUCACACUGCCUUUGCAUGAGGACUCAACUCUUUUGCCAGUUCACUUCACCUAUUUUGUGGACUGAGUUCUCUUUGUAUUCACACUGCCUUUGCAUGAGGACUCAACUCUUUUGCCAGUUCACUUCACCUAUUUUGUGGACUGAGUCCUCUUUGUAUUCACACUGCCUUUGCAUGAGGACUCAACUCUUUUGCCAGUUCACUUCACCUAUUUUGUGGACCGAGUCCUCUUUGUAUUCACACUGCCUUUGCAUGAGGACUCAACUCUUUUGCCAGUUCACUUCACCUAUUUUGUGGACCGAGUCCUCUUUGUAUUCACACUGCCUUUGCAUGAGGACUCAACUCUUUUGCCAGUUCACUUCACCUAUUUUGUGGACCGAGUCCUCUUUGCAUUCACAUUGCUAUGUUUAUAAAGGACCCAGGAUAUUUUUCCAUCAUGCACUCUGGGUUUUUUACAAAGUGCAGGGAAAGCCAUUCAGUCAGAAUGUGUUAUUGGACAGCUAGAUAUACCUACUUACAUGUAUGAAGCUAAUGGAUUGCAUUUAGUUAAAAUAUGAGACAUAAUAAUUGCAAAUAGAAGAUACUAUUAACAUGUACAUCUGAUUGGUAACAGAAUAAAUAGUAAUAUAAUGACUGCAGAAUAAAUAAUGUUGUAAUUGAAAAUUGUACACCCAAG
Molecule: long non-coding RNA, 2716 nt
Organism: Oncorhynchus kisutch (coho salmon)
Lineage: Eukaryota; Metazoa; Chordata; Actinopteri; Salmoniformes; Salmonidae
Exons: 5
Source: RefSeq, a predicted model, not a curated record